AAAAAAAAAAUUUCCUUCCAGCAGCACCUUAAAGACCAACUAAGUUAGUUCUUGGUAUGAGCUUUCGUGUGCAUGCACACUUCUUCAGAUACACAGUUGAUGGACUUCCAUUUCAUGCGGCUCAAUGUGGUGCCUUCCAUAGUUCCAGUAACAGAAAGGUAGCCGUGUUGGUCUGCUAUAGUCAAAACAAAAA
Podarcis raffonei (Aeolian wall lizard) is the source of this 193-nucleotide long non-coding RNA. RefSeq lists it as uncharacterized. The record is from RefSeq and is a predicted model, not a curated record. The transcript has 2 exons. Lineage: Eukaryota; Metazoa; Chordata; Lepidosauria; Squamata; Lacertidae.